Molecule: ribosomal RNA, 253 nt
Filed under: uncultured bacterium
Lineage: Bacteria
Description: partial 16S ribosomal RNA
Rfam family: Bacterial small subunit ribosomal RNA
Source: RNAcentral
UACGAGGGGGGCGAGCGUUGUUCGGAAUUAUUGGGCGUAAAGCGCACGUAGGCGGUUCGUUAAGUCGGAUGUGAAAGCCCUCGGCUCAACUGAGGAAGUGCACCCGAAACUGGCGAGCUUGAGUACGAAAGAGGAUCGCGGAAUUCCCGGUGUAGAGGUGAAAUUCGUAGAUAUCGGGAGGAACACCGGUGGCGAAGGCGGCGAUCUGGGUCGAUACUGACGCUGAGGAGCGAAAGCGUGGGGAGCGAACAGG